This 280-nucleotide unclassified non-coding RNA is filed under the name Hevea brasiliensis (rubber tree). The record is from RNAcentral. Lineage: Eukaryota; Viridiplantae; Streptophyta; Magnoliopsida; Malpighiales; Euphorbiaceae.
GCGCUAAAUUACAAAUUAACGUUAAAGUAUUAAACUGAAGUGGAAACUCAGAGGAAUUAUUUUUAUUAAUCCACAGAAAGAUAAAAAGGAAUAUGUUUAUUGUGGGCCAAUAUGUCCUCUUCUUUCAUUGAUUUUUAAACCUAAGAUCCAUCUCAAUCACCUUUACACAGCAGCUGAAGGCUCAGAAAGUGAAACAAUACUUGGGAAUUGCAAAACCUGAUCCGCCGUGACAACAGGGAACCCGCUCCCACCCCGAACCCAGUGGGGAAUCCCCACCCCU